CUUUAAAACCCAAACCAACUGUGAGAGUGGUUUUCUACUUUGAUUCUAGAUGGGAAAAUAUUUUGCUUUUUUGGUGGAUGACAGUGUCAGGUCCCAAAUGGAUUUGGUUUCAUCCUCCAGCACGCAUGCAUAUAACGUGAAACAUGCCCACACUCUGCAAGGGCCACAGCCACCCCACCAUUAUGUUCCAAGGCAAAUAUGCGUCCGCGGGUCCCCGGGAAAGUAAAGGAGUUUCACAUUGAGGAGCCGAGCCACACAGUCUAGCAGUUCUGAUGUCUCUCCAAGGCCCACAGAUCCUGGUCUACUAACUUAAGGCCCCUUUUGUCUAAAAUAGUGAUGUACAUUAAAUGCAAAGGGCAAAUGGAACCAUUGAAAAGUACUUUUUGCAUCCAAAACAGCCAACGCUUUGGUGCCUGCUAUGUGUCAGACACUGAUUCUUCUGUCAUCCUUAUUCUACUGAUGAGGCAACUGAGGCAGCUUCAGAGAGUUCGAGUAACCUGCGGAUCACACAACUAGGAAGUAAGAGAGCUGGAACUUGACGUUGGGCUGUUGACCUCCAGAAAUGGUGUUUUUUCCAGUACUCAGUGCUGCCUCUGACUCCAUUGUGAUGGUUGAUUUUAUGUGUCAACUUGACUGGGCCCAGGGGUACCCAGAUAUUUGGUCAAACAUUAUUCUGGGUGUUUCUGUGAGGGCGUUUUGGGUGAGAUUAACAUUUAAAUUGGUAGACUGAGUAAAGCAGAUGGCC
Molecule: long non-coding RNA, 745 nt
Filed under: Homo sapiens (human)
Lineage: Eukaryota; Metazoa; Chordata; Mammalia; Primates; Hominidae
Description: non-protein coding LINC00310:15
Source: RNAcentral